AUGAAAGGAGGCAAGGCGAUGGGCCCUGAUUGUAUCCCCAUUGAGGUGUGGAAAGGUCUCGGGGACAUAGCGAUAGUAUGGCUAACCAAGCUUUUCAACCUCAUUUUUCGGGCAAACAAGAUGCCAGAAGAAUGGAGACGGAGUAUAUUAGUACCAAUCUUCAAGAACAAGGGGGAUGUUCAGAGUUGUACUAAUUACCGUGGAAUUAAGCUGAUGAGCCAUACAAUGAAUCUAUGGGAGAGAGUCAUUGAGCACCACUUAAGAAGAAUGACAAGUGUGACCAAAAAUCAGUUUGGUUUCAUGCCUGGGAGGUCGACCAUGGAAGCCAUUUUCUUGGUACGACAACUUAUGGAGAGAUAUAGGGAGCAAAAGGACUUGCAUAUGGUGUUCAUUGACUUGGAGAAGGCCUAUGAUAAGAUACCGCGGAAUGUCAUGUGGUGGGCCUUGGAGAAACACAAAGUCCCAGCAAAGUACAUUACCCUCAUCAAGGACAUGUACGAUAAUGUUGUGACAAGUGUUCGAACAAGUGAUGUCGACACUGAUGACUUCCCGAUUAAGAUAGGACUGCAUCAGGGGUCAGCUUUGAGCCCUUAUCUUUUUGCAUUGGUGAUGGAUGAGGUCACAAGGGAUAUACAAGGAGAUAUCCCAUGGUGUAUGCUCUUUGCGGAUGAUGUGGUGCUAGUUGACGAUAGUCGGACGGGGGUAAAUAGGAAGUUAGAGUUAUGGAGACAAACCUUGGAAUCGAAAGGGUUUAGGCUUAGUAGAACUAAAACCGAGUACAUGAUGUGCGGUUUCAGUACUACUAGGUGUGAGGAGGAGGUUAGCCUUGAUGGCCAGGUGGUACCUCAGAAGGACACCUUUCGGUAUUUGGGGUCAAUGCUGCAGGAGGAUGGGGGUAUUGAUGAAGAUGUGAACCAUCGAAUCAAAGCCGGAUGGAUGAAGUGGCGCCAAGCUUCUGGCAUUCUCUGUGACAAGAGAGUGCCACAAAAGCUAAAAGGCAAGUUCUACAGGACGGCGGUUCGACCUGCAAUGUUGUAUGGCGCUGAGUGUUGGCCGACUAAAAGGCGACAUGUUCAACAGUUAGGUGUGGCGGAGAUGCGUAUGUUGAGAUGGAUGUGUGGCCACACGAGGAAGGAUCGAGUCCGGAAUGAUGAUAUACGAGAUAGAGUUGGGGUAGCACCAAUUGAAGAGAAGCUUGUCCAACAUCGUCUGAGAUGGUUUGGGCAUAUUCAGCGCAGGCCUCCAGAAGCUCCGGUGCAUAGUGGAUGGCUAAAGCGUGCGGAGAAUGUCAAGAAAGGGCGGGGUAGACCGAAUUUGACAUGGGAGGAGUCCGUUAAGAGAGACCUGAAGGAUUGGAGUAUCACCAAAGAGCUAGCUAUGGACAGGGGUGCGUGGAAGCUUGCUAUCCAUGUGCCAGAGCCAUGA
Molecule: ribosomal RNA, 1425 nt
Filed under: Triticum aestivum (bread wheat)
Lineage: Eukaryota; Viridiplantae; Streptophyta; Magnoliopsida; Poales; Poaceae
Description: partial small subunit ribosomal RNA
Source: RNAcentral